RNAcentral lists this ribosomal RNA (467 nucleotides) under uncultured Moraxella sp. RNAcentral's name for it is "bacterial SSU rRNA". It matches the Rfam family "Bacterial small subunit ribosomal RNA", at positions 337 to 796 of the family's 1533-position model. The record is from RNAcentral. Lineage: Bacteria; Pseudomonadati; Pseudomonadota; Gammaproteobacteria; Moraxellales; Moraxellaceae.
UCCUACGGGCGGCAGCAGUGGGGAAUAUUGGACAAUGGGCGAAAGCCUGAUCCAGCCAUGCCGCGUGUGUGAAGAAGGCCUUUUGGUUGUAAAGCACUUUAAGUAGGGAGGAAAAGCUAAUGGUUAAUACCCAUUAGCCCUGACGUUACCUACAGAAUAAGCACCGGCUAACUCUGUGCCAGCAGCCGCGGUAAUACAGAGGGUGCAAGCGUUAAUCGGAAUUACUGGGCGUAAAGCGCGCGUAGGUGGUUACUUAAGUCAGAUGUGAAAGCCCCGGGCUUAACCUGGGAACUGCAUCUGAUACUGGGUGACUAGAGUAGGUGAGAGGGGAGUAGAAUUCCAGGUGUAGCGGUGAAAUGCGUAGAGAUCUGGAGGAAUACCGAUGGCGAAGGCAGCUCCCUGGCAUCAUACUGACACUGAGGUGCGAAAGCGUGGGUAGCAAACAGGAUUAGAUACCCUGGUAGUCA